AAUUUGUGUCUUAUAUCAGACAAACAUGAAUCUAUAAAGAGUGCAUAUAACAAUCCUGAAGUGGGAAAGGGCAUAUGACGGAGGGAAACGCUGGGGUCACUAUUUGGUAAAAGAGGCCAUUAAUGGACAAAAAUGUUGGCAUCCGAACAAGUUUUCACUGAUAAUUGCAACAAGGGGAUGGCUGAAGAAGUCAGUAAAGCUAACACACAUAAUGUCAUGC
Molecule: long non-coding RNA, 220 nt
Filed under: Lathyrus oleraceus (garden pea)
Lineage: Eukaryota; Viridiplantae; Streptophyta; Magnoliopsida; Fabales; Fabaceae
Description: Pisum sativum (pea) long non-coding RNA (PSAT_LNC019801)
Source: RNAcentral